Molecule: ribosomal RNA, 243 nt
Filed under: uncultured bacterium
Lineage: Bacteria
Description: partial 16S ribosomal RNA
Rfam family: Bacterial small subunit ribosomal RNA
Source: RNAcentral
GCUGGCGUUGCUCGGAAUCACUGGGCGUAAAGGGUGCGUAGGCGGGUCUUUAAGUCCGAGGUGAAAUCCUGGAGCUCAACUCCAGAACUGCCUUUGAUACUGAGGAUCUUGAGUACGGGAGAGGUGAGUGGAACUGCGAGUGUAGAGGUGAAAUUCGUAGAUAUUCGGAAGAACACCAGUGGCGAAGGCGACUCGCUGGACAGAUAUUGACGCUGAGGUGCGAAAGCGUGGGGAGCAAACAGG